GACGAACGCUGGCGGCGUGCUUAACACAUGCAAGUCGAACGAUGAUGCUGGAGCUUGCUCCAGUUGAUUAGUGGCGAACGGGUGAGUAACACGUGAGCAAUCUGCCCUUGACUCUGGGAUAACUGCGGGAAACUGUAGCUAAUACCGGAUACUUUCACCGGAAGGCAUCUUCUGGUGAUGAAAGAAUUUCGGUCAGGGAUGAGCUCGCGGCCUAUCAGCUUGUUGGUGAGGUAACGGCUCACCAAGGCGACGACGGGUAGCCGGCCUGAGAGGGUGACGGGCCACACUGGGACUUAGACACGGACCAGACUCCUACGGGGGGCAGCAGUGGGGAAUAUUGCACAAUGGGCGCAAGCCUGAGGCAGCAACGCCGCGUGAGGGAUGAAGGCCUUCGGGUUGUAAACCUCUUUUAGCAGGGAAGAAGCGAAAGUGACGGUACCUGCAGAAAAAGCACCGGCUAACUACGUGCCAGCAGCCGCCGUAA
Molecule: ribosomal RNA, 484 nt
Filed under: uncultured bacterium
Lineage: Bacteria
Description: partial 16S ribosomal RNA
Rfam family: Bacterial small subunit ribosomal RNA
Source: RNAcentral